This is a long non-coding RNA of Parus major (Great Tit), 2178 nucleotides long. RefSeq lists it as uncharacterized. The record is from RefSeq and is a predicted model, not a curated record. The transcript is spliced from 3 exons. NCBI's taxonomy places the organism in Eukaryota, Metazoa, Chordata, Aves, Passeriformes, Paridae.
CUGUUCUCAUGGAGGUUUGUUGCUGACAGAGCUCAAGGAGACAGGACAAUGGAGGAAGCGGAAUUGACUGGUAAUCAUUUGGAUCCUUUGUACUUCCCGAGCUGAAGGAGCAGCUGCCAACUGCCUGUGACACCGUGUCCUUCUCUUUGGCACUGACUGGAGCCUCAGCUCUGCUGGCUGUGAAAAAUGGACAAUAACAUUUCAUUCACACAAGAGUGAUGUGGUUUAAUUAUAGUGAAGGUUCAAAAACAACUUGAGGAUGAAGUGUUGUGUAAGUGCUAAAUGUUAUCCUUGACAAUGACACAGGGACCAGAAAAUUGGUCUUUCAGAUCAUCAAGUUAUUCCAUAAAUUACAAACCAAUUUCUCUCCUUAAAUGAAGAGUUUCUGAGACAUUCAGCUUUCUUGCUAAUUGUUUGCCUUUAACAAUUGGAUGGAUUUAAGUAAAUUGACUGGUGGAGACAAAUGUGUUUUCCAGCUCGACAUUGUCUGACAUGCAAUGAUUAGAAAUGGACUGGCUGCAGACCAGAGCCAAGCCCUGCAGGUGGUCACCAAAAGGACAAACUUGUAGUGGGAUUUUCUAGGGAGAGUUCAAAAGGGCCUGUAACAGGCUGUCCCUCCUGGAGGCUGUCCUCCCCUUGCCUUCAUGUUUAGCUGAGUAAAACCAAGUAACUCCUGUCCCACGUCCUUGUCUGCUUUUCCGUGUCACUCAGAACUCGCAGGUUUUGUACCUGGAUCUUCCUGGGAGCUCAGUCUGUGAUGGAGACACCAGAGCCUGGGGUUCCACACUCCCCCGAGUCCCUCUGCCUCUCCUGUGAUACUUUUGAAGCUGCUCCAAAGGCAGGGGUGGGGCAUAAAUGACAAUGCAGUCAAGUUUUUUUAAGUUGUGCUUAAAAAGCAGAAGUAUUAAAAGCUCAGCUGUGCCAUGCAGUUUGUCUUUCAGUCAAAACCCAAACAAACCAACCCAAAAAAUAAGUUCCAGCUCUUCCUCAGGUCUGCAGCUCCCCUGGAAGGAGUGGGAAUAAAGAAAUGCUGUCAUCAGAGGCUAGUAUUUUCAGUUUUCUGAUUUUGAAAGUAGACCUUGGACUGUGUGUCCCUGUCUGCUUUGUGCAUUUUUGCAUUCUGGAUAAAAAUAAUGAAGGGACCCUGGUGAUGAAUAAAAAUGACAAGUUUUGUUAUUACUUUAAAGUAUCACAAGGCUGGAGGUAUGUGUAUGUAGGGAAUAUAUAUAUGUAAGGAAUAAUAUGUAAUAAUAUGUAAGGAAAUUAUCUCCCAGAUUGCUCUGUCAGUGUUUUACCUUGUGUUCCCUUACAGACCUUUGUUCCUGUCGUUGUCUCAUCUUCUGGUUCCUUGUGGACUUUCAGUUGUGGAACCUCUUGUGCCAAGUGUAUUUCCAGCCAGAGAUGUAUCCCUGUAUUUUAUGGAGACCUGGCCAUGGAGAAAACAUCCCAUCACCUCCAGAACAAAACAGGCUGUGGCUCUGAUUCUGGAAUCAAUAAACCACUGGGAUUUGCAAUGGCAGGACAACUCCACAACGUGACAAAGGCCAGGAAUGAGAACAUCUCUGUCAGGGGUCACUCAGCUGUGACUCUUGCACAUCUGUCUGUGAGCAGCUCCAAAGGCAGAAGAUGAAUGUAAUCAGAACCACUCAUGAUGAUUUGCAAAGCACUGUUUAUGCUUUUAACUGCAUUCCCUGGGAUCAGGCGCUGGAUCUUGCCUUUGACCCUCUUUCUAGAGCUGGCCCAGUGAAACUCUCCCCACUCACCCUUCAGUAAAUAACAAAAAUAAAAAUUCAAGCCUUCAACGACUGUGCCACCACCCUUGUGAGGAAAUGUGUUGGUGUAGCUACGUUGCAUUUCUGUCUAUUCCCCUAAUCUAAUCCCCCAUGUGGGGUUUAUCACAGAGCAGGGCCCAAGCUGCAGUGCCCAGCAUGUGCUGCUGGAGCUGGAUAAUAUUUCAUUUUUAACAGUUCUUUCCCCACUGCUGCUUAAACCACCGUGCUGAGCAACACAAACUCUGCUGGGAAAAGAUACCUUUGCCAGCUUGAAUUUAUUUCUGUUCACUGGAACAACUGGUUGGAAGUGUGUGGUUGUUUCCCUUGGUAGUAGGCAAGGCUAGGCUUCAAAAACAUUGAGAAAUGCUCUAAAAAAUGCAUUUUCCAGGCACUGUUCAUACUAGUU